GACGUAGGGCGCGAGCGUUGUCCGGAUUUAUUGGGCGUAAAGAGCUCGUAGGCGGCUUGUCGCGUCGAAUGUGAAAUCUCAGGGCUCAACUCUGACAUUGCAUUCGAUACGGGCAGGCUCGAGUUCGGUAGGGGAGACUGGAAUUCCUGGUGUAGCGGUGAAAUGCGCAGAUAUCAGGAGGAACACCGGUGGCGAAGGCGGGUCUCUGGACAUUUCCUGACGCUGAGGCACGAAAGCCAGGGGAGCAAACGGG
RNAcentral lists this ribosomal RNA (253 nucleotides) under uncultured bacterium. RNAcentral describes it as "partial 16S ribosomal RNA". It matches the Rfam family "Bacterial small subunit ribosomal RNA", at positions 524 to 776 of the family's 1533-position model. The record is from RNAcentral.